RNAcentral lists this transfer RNA (32 nucleotides) under Aix sponsa (wood duck). RNAcentral's name for it is "partial tRNA-Trp". The record is from RNAcentral. Lineage: Eukaryota; Metazoa; Chordata; Aves; Anseriformes; Anatidae. RNAcentral also lists the same sequence under 5 other names.
AAACUUAGGAUAACACCCCCUUUAAACCGAAG